This 501-nucleotide ribosomal RNA is filed under the name Bonneviella sp. 3 830AS. Its description in RNAcentral is "partial 16S ribosomal RNA". It matches the Rfam family "Bacterial large subunit ribosomal RNA", at positions 1885 to 2540 of the family's 2925-position model. Lineage: Eukaryota; Metazoa; Cnidaria; Hydrozoa; Leptothecata; Campanulariidae. The record is from RNAcentral.
GGUUUUUAAUAUAGAGAAUAAAAUCCUUGUAAUAAAACUAAAAGGACGCGGUAACCUUGACCGUGAUAAUGUAGCAUAAUCACUCGCCAUUUAAUUGAUGGAUAGUAUGAAUGGUUGAACGAAUAUUUCACUGUCUUAAAAAAAACCAAAUAAAAUUAAAAUAAUAGUUAAGAUGCUAUUUUAAACUGUAAGACGAAAAGACCCUAUAGAGCUUAACUAUAAUCUUUUUUUUAAAUAUAAAAUAUUAUUUUUUAUAUUAGAAAGAUUGGUAGUUUAGUUGGGGCGACUACCUUCUAUAUAAAACGAAGGUAAGCAAAGUUAAUAAAAAACUUAUUAUAUAAAUAAAAUAUUUAAUAAUUACAAAAGUAGGCUAUAGUGACCCGUUAGUAUUAUAUAAAAAACCUAACGAUCAAUUAAUAAAAGCUACCUUAGGGAUAACAGGAUAAUUUCAUUCUAGAGUUCUUAUCGAAAAUGAAGUUUGUCACCUCUAUGUUGAAUUAA